Molecule: non-coding RNA, 12845 nt
Organism: Callithrix jacchus (white-tufted-ear marmoset)
Lineage: Eukaryota; Metazoa; Chordata; Mammalia; Primates; Cebidae
Source: RefSeq, a predicted model, not a curated record
GUUCCCGAGUCGGCUUCUGCAGGCCUGGCUGCUGCUGCCUCCUCCCCCUGGCCUCGGGAGGCACAAGCAUUGGGUCCUGAAGUCGGCCUCUCCAGGCCCAGCUCCUACUCUCCUGGCGUCUCCUUCCCAUUGGUGGCAAACUUCCUCACAUGGGUGCCUCCAGGGCCAGCUGCUGUCUCCCAACGGCCCCCUGGGGCCCAGCUUCUGCCUCCCCUCAGCCUCUCUGGGAGGUCCAGCCUAUGUCUUCCUUCUGGUGGCCUCCCCAGGCCCGGAUCCUCCUCCUGGCCUCGUCUACUGGACCACAUCCUGCCUCUCGAUAGCUGCUUUUCGCUCAGCUCCUGAUCAGCUUCCAGUGGCCUUUCUUCUGUAGGCCCGAAGCUUUCUCAAGUGGGGCUUUCCCGGCCUCCAUUCUGCCUCCUGGUGGCCUUGACAGGCCCUGCUACCACCUGACAUUGGCCCCUCUGGGCCCAGCUCUGGACUCUCCGCAGCCUCCCCAGCACCAGCUGCUGCCUCCUGGUGGCUUCCCCAGACCAAGAUCGUGCCUGCCUGCAUUCUGGCUGCAUCCACAGGCCCAGCACCUCCCUCACAGUGGCCCAUUGGGGCCCAGCUCGUGCCUGUGGCAAACCUCUUUGGACCCAGCUCUUGCCUCACUCUUGGCUUGAGUCUAGGCCCAGGCGCUCCCUCGCAGGGGUCUUCCUCAGCCCAGCUCGCCUAUCACGGACUCUUUGAGGCCAGCUCCUGCCUCCCGGCUUCCCCAGGCCCAGCUCCUGCCUGCGCCAGGCCCAUACUGGGCCCAGCCUCUGCCUUUCAGUGGACCCUCUGUGGCUUGGCUCCUCCAUAGCUCCUGGAGGCCUUUUUAGGCCCAAAAGCUCAGGCCCUCGACUCAGGCUCUCCAGGACUACCCAGCUCAUGCCUCACACUGGCCUCUCCAGGCUCAGCUUCUGCCCACCCAGUGUUCCUAUAGGCCCCAGAUGUCUCAGAGUCGGCUUCUCCAGGCCCGGUUUCAGACUCCUCCUAUUGGCUUCUGCAGGCCCAAGCAUUGGGUUCUCAAUUCGGCCUCUCCAGGCCCAGCUCCAGUUUUCCUGGUGUCUCCUCCCCAUGGGUGCAAACGUCGUCACGUGGGUUCUUCUAGGGCCAGCUCAUGCCUCCCAAAGGCCCCCUGGGCUUAGCUCCUGCCUCCCAUCAGCCUCUCCUGAAGGCCCAGCAUCUGCCUCUGUACUGGCGGCCUCUCAAGGCCUGGAUCCUCCUCCUGGCCACAUCUACGGGCCCAAGUUUUGCCCCCGGCAGCCUCUUUUUUUUUUUUUUUUUUAAGAGAUGGAGUUUUGCUCUUGUUUCCCAGGCGCAGGUACAAUGACGUGAUCUCAGCUCACCUCAACCUCCGCCUUUUGGAUUUAGGCAAUUCUCCUUCCUCAGCCUCCUGAGUAGCUGGAGUUACAGGCACACGCCACCAUACCCAGCUAAUUUCUUUUUCUUUAUGUUUUGAGACAGAGUUUCGCUCUUGUUACCCAGGCUGGAGUAGAAUGGUGCGAUCUUGGCUCACCGCAACCUCUGCCUCCUGGGUUCAGGCAAUUCUCCUGCCUCAGCCUCCUGAGUUGCUGGGAUUACAGGCACACGCUACCGUGCCCAGCUAAUUUUUUUUUUUUUUUUUUUUUUUGAGACAGAGUUUUGCUCUUGUUGCCCAGGCUGGAGUGCAAUGGCACGAUCUCGGCUCACAGCAAACUCUGCCUCCUGGGUUCAGGCAGUUCUUUUGCCUCAGCCUGCUGAGUAACUGGGAUUACAGGCACGCACCACCAUGGCCAACUAAUUUUUUUUGUUUUUGAGACGGAGUUUUGCUCUUGUUUCCCAGGCUGGAGUGCAAUGGCAUGAUCUCAGCUCACUGCAACCUCUCCCUCCUGGGUUCAGGCAAUUCUCCUGCCUCAGCCUGCUGAGUAGCUGGGAUGACAGGCACGCACCACCAUGCCCAGCUAAUUUUUUGUAUUUUUAGUAGAGACGGGGUUUCACCAUGUUGACCAGGAUGGUCUCGAUCUCCUUGACCUCGUGAUGCACCUGCCUCGGCCUCCCAACGUGUUGGGAUUACAGGCGUAAGCUACUGUGCCUGGUCCCCAGCAGCGUCUUUUGGCUUGGCUCCUGGCCAGCACCCGGAGUUGUUUUGUCUGUCGGCCCAAAGCUUCCUCAGUGUCCCUUCUGUUGAGGCCACCGGGAGGCAGAAGGGACGCCCAGAAGGCCGCACCUGAGGAAGCUUUGGGCCGACAGACGAAAGGCCUCUGGGAGCUGGCCGGUAGUCGAGCCAAAAGAGGCUGCCAGGGGCAAAACUUGGGCCUGUAGAUGUGGCCAGGAGGAGGUGCCAGGCCUGGUGUGGCUGCCAGUAGGGAGGCAGAGGCUGGGGCUCCUGGAGAGGUCACCUGAUGGGAAUCAGGACCUGGGUUCCAGGGGCCACUGGGAUGCCAGAGCUGGCCCCGGAGGGGACCAUGUGAUGAUGUAUUGUGCCCAUGUUGGGGGGUGCCGCCGGGAGGGCAGGAGCUGGACCUGCAGACGCGGACAUCAUUACCCGGUGCUUGGGCCUCCCGAGGCCAGCAGGAGGACAAAGCAGGACUGGGCCUCAGGGCUGAGCUCUGGAGUCCCCCCAGCCUCCCCAGCCCCAGCUGCUGCCUGCUGGCUGCUUCCGCAGGCCAAGAUCUUGCCUGCCUGCCUGCAUCCCGGCUGCAUCCACAGGCCCAGCGCCUCCCUCACACUGGCCAGUUGAGGCUCAAUUCAUGCCUUUGCAGGACGUCUCUGGAGCCAGCUCUCCCCUGGUGCUGGCCUUGAGUCUGGACCCAAGUCCUCCCUCGCACCAGCCGUUCUUGGCCCAGCUCGCCUCUCAUAAACUCUGGCCAGCUGCUGCCUCCCAGCGGCCUGUCCAGGCCCGAAGCUUCCUCCGGGCCCCGCCUCUCCAGGCCUGGCUUUUGCCUGUGCUAGGCCCCUCCGGGCCCAGCCUCUGCCUCUCAGUGGACCCUCCAGACCCAGCUUGUGGCCUCAUCAUGGCCUCUCCUCAGCCCAGCUCCUGCCUCUGUGGCAGCCUGUCCUCACAGGCCCAGCUUGUAGCCUCCCAGUGGCCCCAGGCGGCCCUUCCAUGCCCAGCGUUGGCCUUCUGGCAUCCUCUCCUUGUCCAGAGUGUCUUCAGGUCAGCCUCUUGGGGCCAAGCCCCUCCUUCCGGCGACUUCUAAGGGCCAACCUUCCAAUCUCGCCUCGCAGCAACCUUUAUGGACUCGGCUCCUCCCCAGCUCCCGGAGGCCUUUGCAGGAUCGAAAGCUCAGGCCCGUGACUCAGGCUCUCAAGACUACCCAGCUCAUGCCUCACCCUGGCCUCUCCAGGCUCAGCUUCUGCCCAGCCAGGGUUCCUACAGGUUCCAGAUGUCCCAGAGUCGGCUUCUCCAGGCCCGGGUCCGGACUCCUCCUAUUGGCUUCUACAGGCCCAAGCAUUGGGUUCUCAAUUCGGCCUCUCCAGGCCCAGCUCCAGUUCUCCUGGCAUCUCCUCCCCAUGGGUGCAAAACAUUGUCACAUGGGCCCUUCUAGGGCCAGCUCAUGCUUCCCAAAGGCUCCCUGGGCUUAGCUCCUGCCUCCCAUCAGCCUCUCCUGGAGCCCCAUCCUCUGCCUCCGUACUGGCGGCCUCUCCAGGCCUGGAUCCUCCUCUUGGCCAUGUCUACGGGCCCAAGUUUUGCCUCUGGCAGCCUCUUUUUUUUUUUUUGAGAUGGAGUUUUUCUCUUGUUACCCAGGCGUGAGUGCAAUGACCUGAUCUGGGCUCACCUCAACCUUUGCCUCUUGGGUUCAGGCAGUCCUCCUGCCUCAGCCUCCUGAGUAGCUGGGAUUACAGGCAUGCACCACCAUGCCCAGCUAAUUUUUUGUAUUUUUUUUUUUUUUGAGACCUAUUUUCGCUCUUGUUACCCAGGCUGGAGUGGAAUGGUGUGAUCUCGGCUCACCACAACCUCCGCCUUUUGGGUUCAGGCAAUUCUCCUUCCUCAGCCUCCUGAGUAGCUGGGAUUUCAGGCACCCGCCACUGUGCCCAGCUAAUUUUUUUUUUGGUUUUUUUGAGAUGGAGUUUUGCUCUUGUUGCCCAGGCUGGAGUGCAAUGGCAUGAUCUCGGUUCACCACAAUGUUUGCCUCCUGGGUUCAGGCAAUUCUCCUGCCUCAGCCUCCUCAGUAGCUGGAUUACAGGCAUGCACCACCAUGCCCAGCUAAUUUUUGUUUUUUGUUUUUUGUUUUUUUUUGAGACCUAUUUUCACUCUUGUUACCCAGGCUGAAGUAGAAUGGCGUGAUCUCGGCUCACCACAACCUCCGCCUUUUGGGUUCAGGCAAUUCUUCCUCAGCCUCCUGAGUAGCUGGGAUUACAGGCACGGCCACCAUGCUCAGCUAAUUUUUUUAUUUAUAUUUUUGAGUUGGAGUUUUGUUCUUGUUGCCCAGGCUGGAGUGCAAUGGCAUGAUCUCGGUUCACCGCAAUGUCUGCCUCCUGGGUUCAGGCAAUUCUCCUGACUCAGCCUCCUGAGCAGCUGGGAUUACAGGCACGCGCCACCAUGCCCAGCUAAUUUUUUGUAUUUUUAGUAGAGACGGGGCUUCACCAUGUUGACCAGGAUGGUCUCGAUCUCCUGACCUCGUGAUCCACCCGUCUCGGCCUCCCAAAGUGCUGGGAUUACAGGCGUGAGCCACUGCACCUGGUCCCCAGCAGCGUCUUUUGGCUCGGCUCCUGGCCAUCUCCUGGAGGCCUUUCAUCUGUCGGCCCAAAGCUUCCUCAGGUGGCACCUUUCGGGAAUCCCUUCUGCCUCCCGGUGGCCUCAACAGAAGGGACACCUAGAAGGCCCCACCUGAGGAAGCUUCGGGUCGACAGACGAAAGGCCGAGCCAAAAGAGGCUGCCUGGCGCAAAACUUGGGCCAGUUGAUGUGGCCAGGAGAAGGUUCAGGCCUCGUGAGGCUGCCAGUAGGGAGGCACAGGCUGGGCCUCCUGGAGUGACUGCCUGAUGGGAACAGGACCUGGGCCCCAUGGGGCCACUGGGAUGCAGGACCUAGCCCCGGAGGGGACCACGUGAUGAUGUAUUGCACCCAGGUUGGGGGGUGCCGCCGGGAGGGCAGGAGCUGGACCUGCAGAUGCGGACUUCAUGACCCAAUGCUUGGGCUUCCCGAGGCCAGCAGGAGGACAAAGCAGGACUGGGCCUCAGGGCCGAGCUCUGGAGUCCCCGCAGCCUCCCCAGUCCCAGCUGCUGCCUGCUGACUGCUUCCGCAGGCCAAGGUCUUGCCUACCUGCAUCCUGGCUGCAUCCACAGGCCCAGCACCUCCCUCACACUGGCCAGUUGAGGCUCAGUUUGGCCCGAAGCUUCUCAAGUGGGGUUUCUGCCUCCAUUCUGCCUACCAGUGGCCUUCACAGGCCCUGCUACCGUCUGACAUUGGCCCCUCUGGACCCAGCUCUGGAUUCUCUGCAGCCUCCCCAGCACCAGCUGCUGCUUGCUGAUAGCUUCCCCACACCGAGAUCCUGCCUGCCUGCCUGCAUUCUGGCUGCAUCCACAGGCCCAGCGUCCCCCUCACAGUGGCUCAUUGGAGCCCAGCGCUUUCCUCAAAGUGGCUCAUUGGAGCCCAGCGUCCCCCUCACAGUGGCUCAUUGGAGCCCAGUGCUUUCCUUACAGUGGCUCAUUGGAGCCCAGCGCUUUUCUCACAGUGGCUCAUUGGAGCCCAGUGCUUUCCUUACAGUGGCUCAUUGGAGCCCAGUGCUUCCCUCACAGUGGCCCAUUGGGGCCCAGCUCAUGCCUGUGGCAAACCUCUCCGGACCCAGCUCUCGCCUCACUCUUGCCUUGAGUCUAGGCUCAGGCGCUCCCUCGCAGGGGUCUUCCUGAGCCCAGCUCGCCUAUCACAGACUCUCCCGAGCCAGCUCCUGCCUCCCGGCGGCCUGUCCAGGCCCAAAGCUUCCUCUCCGUGGCCACAUGGGGCCAAUCUGAUGCCUCCCGGUGGCCCUCCCGGGCCCAGCAUUGGCCUGAUGGCAUCCUCUCUGGGCCCAGAACGUCUUCAGAGAGGCCGGACUUGACAGACGCCAUCAUCCUCCGGAAAGGGGCCUCAGUGGAGCACAUGCCCAGCCCCAGGUCUCUGGGUGCCACCCUGGAGGUGUUGAACAAAUGAGGCCAUGCAAUGUCCCAUCUCUCUAAGACCUAGGCUUGAGAUCACAGCAGGAGGAGCCAAGAAGACUCACGAUCACCCUACUGAAUCCCUUCAGACACUCACAAGUGGCAAGCUGAGUAAAAUGGCACCAGCACCAAGUACAGUUCGCAGCGGGUGGGUCUGACCCACACCAUGGAGCAUGAGAAGGUCAUCCAGAUCGUGAAGAAGGAAUGGCGCCUGCCAGGCCUCCCGCCCACCUGCCUCAUCUCCCUGGGGGCGUCGGUCCUACUGGGACACACAAACACCCAAACAAAAAUACAAAUACACACACUUCUCUGACACUCGGGGUGGGGGCCCUUCCAGGAAGAAACCCCCUUGUGUCUUCCACUCAAGGCUCUCCAGGCUUGGAAGCAGAGCUUAGUGGCUUCAAAGGCCCAGCUGACACCCUCCACAGCCUAAGGGGUGUCAUAAAGUGCCUCCCUCUUUCUGACCCUCCCAGGGCAGCUCCUGCCCAGCACAAAACCCCCAGACCCUGGCUCUACACACCUGGGCCAGGGACUUCUGAGUUUAGAAUCUGUUUUCUAAGUCCCCAGUUCUCCUGGCUCUCCUUUCUGAAAUAAAGGAUUGAAAACCAUUCCUGUCCAGACUGAGAAGACUUUGUAACCUUGCUGAACAGUAGCCAGGUUGAGUCAGGUGGGCACAGGUCAAGCAUUGAGGGUAGCAGUGGGCCUGGGAGUUGGAGAGGGUGGAGCCUGGAUCCCCAGGGCAGCCCCAGGCCAUGGGUGGCAAGGAGAAUGCAGGGUUCCUCAGCCAGGCACAGGCAGGCUCUACCCAGGGAGUUGGUCAUGGGUGUCAGGCCCAGACUGGCCCCUCCAGAGGGACCUGGCUGCCAAGGUGGGCAGCAUCCCAGGAGGCCUUUGUGACCAUCUGGGUGGCAGGGAGGCUCCCCCAUGAGAACAAGGUGGCUGACCAUUUCCUGUUGCCUCAGAAGCCAGGAGGAGAGGGGCUGGCAGGGGCUCGUUGAGUACCUAUAAUGUGCCAGGGACAGUGCCGGCACCCCACGGUAUUCUACUGUCCCUUGGAAGCUGGUGCAGGUUGCACAGUUUUUAAAUGCAGAGCCUAGAUGUAAGACCUGUGAGCAGCAGCAAAGGCUUCCCGGAGGAGGUGUGCCUUUUCGGAGGGAUGCAGCAGGUUCUGUGAGGCUGUCAGGAGAGGUAGAGAGCUCCAGGGGGGCCUAGGGCCCAGCUGGAAUAUGGAGCAGGCCCAGGCCCGGGUCCUGGGCUGUUUGCAGCUCCGCUGUCAGCUGCUCAGUCUUUUCUAGAGACAAAACAGGAAUAAUAGACAUCAUUAAAUAUACAUGGGGCCCCAGGCGGUUGGCCUGGUGGGCUGGGCCUCCCUUCCCCAUAACACCGAGCUGCUCUGCUGGGCCGAUCGUGCUCCUGGGCCAGCCAGAGGACCCCCAUGUUGCGGCAUGCAGGCUGGGAGCAGGCCACAGGACCCUAGCCUUGAGUCCUUGGGGUUGGCCACUAGCUACCCUCCCAUCCCAGACUGCAGGGGCAGCAGCAGAGCUGGGGCCUUGCCCCUAACUCACCUUGAGGCCCUUCGCUGCCUCCCUUUGUUCAUCUGUGAGGGGUGUGAUGCCCACGCAGCCCCCUCCUGGUGAUGGUGGGAUACCAAGACAGGCAAGGGCUCCUUGGCCCCUCUCCCAACAGCCCUGAUGCCUGGCCGUGAGGCCCUAAGUGAGGGUUUCUACCUGGGUGGUGGCCAUUCCCACUUCCACUUUACAGGCAAGGGCUCUGGCCCUGGGUGAGGUGGGGAAGGCCUUGAGUUCACACAGUGUCAGGCUGAGUCUGGGCCUUGGGUUAGAUCCAGGCCUGUUCUGUCCCCCUGGCUGGCUGACAAGGGUGGGGGGAAAAUGAGGCCAGAGGCUGGGGGGUCCUCAGGCAGUGAGGGCUCGGGUGAGUGGCUCCUGCCACUGGGCUGCAUGUUCCUGGGCUAGGUCUGUUGUGUGUGGGAGUCAGGCAGGCACUACAGCUCUGUUGUGUCCUGGGCUUUCUGGAUCUGUGGGCAGGAUGGCUGUAUGGUCUACAUUUGCAUGUGAGAGAGUGAGCGAGAGAUCAUGCAGCCGUGUAUGCCCAGGUCAGUGUGAAGCAGUUCAUGGUGCCCUUAGGGCUGGGGAAGCUCCCUAAGACCCCCUCAAAGGUCCCAGACCCCCCCAACCUGAGCAAGCUCCAGGCUUGGGCCUCACCCUGUCAGCCACCUUGUUCUCAUCACUCAUGCUCCCUGGCAAUCACAGGCGAGGGUAUGCACCCUCACCCAGGCCAUGCCCAGGCAGCAGAGCUGCACUCAGCUCCCAGCUGGCAUCCCUGCAGCCUCCCGGGGGUCAUCUGCCCACAGCUUUAGAAGACUCAGGUACAGAGGAGCCAAAGAAAUGCAUAUUAUUCUGUCCCAUGCUUGUGCAUUCUCAUUCUCCUUCUUUUUUCCUCUCCAGCUUAGAUUCCACAGUUUUCUGUUUCAGAUCCCUACUUUGGCAAGAAAGCCAAGUCGAGAGCCUCUGCUUCCCACUCUGUCCUUCUCCUAGACGGCUCACCCCACCUCCAGCCUCCAUCUCGCCAGACCUGGGUCUGAGCAGCCUUUUUGACUCUCCACUGCACUGCCCCAUAGCCAUCCAAAUGCUCCAUGUCCCAGACCAAACAUGGCAUUCCCACCCCACCUGGCCUCACCUCAGAGACACUCCGCACACCCUCCAGCAGCACCAACCCAACCCCAAGUUCACCUGGCUCCCCCUCAUCCCAGCUCCAUCUAGCCCCUCACCGGGGCCAGCAUGUUUCACCUCAUCCUGAAUGUGUCCACUGGACUCCAUCACAGCAUGGUCCCAGUCACGCCACUGUCCCCGCUCCACUCUUUUCACAUGGUGGCCUGAGCUGCCUUUUCUCCUGCUUCCUAAGAAGCCAUGUGAGCCAGUGGUUGAGACCGUGGACACUCUGGAGCCAGAUUUCCCAGGCUCAACUCCACCUACAAGCUCUGUGGGCCCAUGUCCUCCUCUGCAAAGUGGGAAGAAUAAUCAUACCCACUUCAGGAGGUUGUAGUGAGUUGAGUUCUGUGUAGCCUGGCAGUUCUGAACACAGGCCUUGCCGUCACAGGUCCCAUUGCUUCCUCACUGUGGGCUCUCCGCUGAGGGAUCUAACCUGAGAUCAAGCCCUUCAUCUCUAAAAUGUGAAGAACAGUUGCUGUCCUACCUAUGUGAGAAUCUAGUGUGAUACUUCAGAAAAGCAUUUAGCACCAAGCCUGGCACACAGUAAACAUCUGGAAAUGUGGAACAGUGACCAAAGUCCCAUCCCUUCCAUGACUGAUUGGGCUAGUCCCUGCCUGCCACCCUGGCCGCCUCUCAUUUCACAUGCCCUCAAUCACUCUGCUCUAGCCAUAGACUGUCCCUGAAGCCCCUCUUACUACCUGGCCUUUGCACAUGCUGUUCCACUUGCCAGGAAUACUGUUCCCUCUUCCAUGUGAUCAGCUCCCUCUUAUCCUUAUCUUGGCUCAGGGUUGCCUUGUCGGGAGAGUCUUCCUGGACCUCCAAUGCAGUGUUCGCCCGUCUGGGGUCAUGCCCUGACCUUCACAGCUCUUCUUAUUGGUGUGACUCUUUGUUUAAAGCCUGCAUCCAGGAUAGGCAUGGUGGUUCAUACCUGUAAUCCCAACACUGGUAGGCUGAGGCAGGAGUAGUGCUUGGGGGCAGGGAGUUCAAGACCAGCCUGGGCAACUUAGUGGGACCCUGUCUCUACAAAAACUGAAAGCAGUAGCCAGGUGUGGUGGCACACACCUGUGGUCUCAGCUGCUCGGGCAGCUGAGGUGGGAGGAUUGCUUGAGCCUGAGAGCUCAAGGCUGCAGUGAGCUGUGAUUAUGUUACUGUACUCCAGCCUAAGCGACGGAACAAGACCCUGUCUCAAAAAACAAAAACAGAAAACAGUCUGUGUCCCCUACAACUCAGGGAACUUCAUGAGAGCAGAGAUCAGGUUUGCUUUCACUCCACUCUGCCAACCCUGAGUGCCCUGCAUAGUGCUUGGCACAUAACACAUGCACAACUAAUGCACAGCUAAUAUUUAAAGAAUCAAUAAAUGAGAGACUAGUAGCCUGACACCCACUCUGCCUGCACAGAGGUCAGGGACCCUGAGAGGGAGGCAGGACCUGGAACCUACCAGAGAAGGGGCAACCUCAGCUGACUUCUUGCCUGAGGUUCCAGAGACCAAGAGGGCUCAGGUGGGCAGGACUUGCUGCCAGCAGUCACCCAGACCAUCUCACUCAGAGCAGAGAGGCAGAGGCCUGUAGCAACGAUGUUGGCAGAUAUAACAGCUGCUUACCCAGGCCAGCCACUGUGACCGGCUCUCCACCAUUUCAUGUAAUGCCCAGGUCAGCCUUGGUAGGGGCGGUAUCUACACUCACGGAUGAGGAGACUAAUGCUGAGGCUGCAUGACUUGCUAUGGGUCUGAUCCAAGUGAGGAAUGAGACCUGACCCAGAGCUCUGAGCUGCGGGCCUCCUCAUCCCCUGGGCUAGAGCUGGGCUUGCCUCUCCGAGUGGCAGAUCUUCAUCUGGACAAUGGGGUUUUGCAGGGGAAAGAUGCCUGCCUGCGGGUUUGAGGCAUGACUUGGGCAAGCCCCUAGACAAUGGUGGCCUCUCUGCCUUUCUUUCUUUCUUUUUCUUUUUCUUUUCUUUUUUUUUUUUUUUUUUUUUUUGAGGAGAAAGAGAAUAAUAUUUAUUGGGCAUACCACACACAAGUUAGAUUUUUUUUAUUAUAAAUAGCACCAGUCGCUCUGACCCUGAUUUAUUUUUUUAUCUUUUUAUUGCAUUUUAGGUUGUGGGGUACAUGUGCAGAACAUGCAAGACAUUUGCAUAGGUACACACGUGGCAGUGUGUUUUGCUGCCUUCCUCCCCUUCACCCACAUUUGGCAUUCCUCUCAAACUUUCUUCUGGACAGACAAGGCUCCCUGCUUGGGGCAGACAGAAAGUACGGCUCUGGGAGGUGCUCCUGGUUCUGAAGAGCCAGCCCUGCCCCACUUUUCCCCAGCAAGUCUUCUGACCUCCCUCUGCCUCACUUUCAACAAAUGUUAUGUGGCUGUGGGGGUGGAGUUGCAUCUGUGACAUCUCAGGCCCUGACAUUCUUCCUGAGAGCCUGUCUAAAGUGGUGUUUCCACUCACUGUCUCCAAUUUUUUUUUCCAUUUUCACAUUUACAGUGUUGUCGGGGGUGGGGACAGUGUCUCGCUCUGUCUCUCAGGCUGGAGUAUAGUGGCACAAUCUCGGCUCUCGGCAGCCUCCACCUCCCAGGUUCAAGUGAUUCUCCUGCCUCAGCCACCACACUGUGCAUGCCUUUAGCUGGGAUUACAGUGACUUCGAUAGACUCUGCUCCAGCUGCUGUCAAAUCAGAAUCUCAUUCCUCGCCAAAAAAGGAUUCUCUUUCUUCAGAUGUCACUAGCAAACUAUUACAAAUACGCAGUCCUUCAGCUGAAAAUAAGAGACCUAAAUGGGUCCCACCAGCGGCAUCUGGAGGUAGCAGAAAUAGCAGCAGCCCACUGGCAGUAGUGUCUGUGAAGUCUCCGAAUCAGAGUCUCCGUCUUGGCUUGUCCAGAUUAGCACGAGUUAAACCUUUGCAUCCGAAUGCCACUAGCAGCUGAGUGUGGUACCAGAGGAAUGUUUGGUUGAGAGAAUUGCAGCUUUACAAGGGUGUUUAUAUUUAAUUUGUGUUUAUAUUUGGGGCAGGUAUUGUCAUAUAAAGGAAUCCAUUACCAUGUCCUAUAAAUGAUCUCUAGCUAUUUUAAGUUUAUGUUCUCUGUAAAGCUCUUUAAGCCUUCAGUGAGUUUUGUUUAUAAGAACUGUCUUCUCAUGCCUUUCCUUGUGAAAAGCAUAUUCUAUUUUUCUAUCAGUUCUACAUGAAGGAAGUCCACAUCACAUGCUGUUCUUUUCUAGUUACAUGAUGUGCCUUUCUGGCUUUAGCUAGUUUAUAGCACCUUAACUGUUCAGUUUUAUGUAGCAGAGGAAACAUUCUUAUUUUUCAGAAGACAUUUCUGAAAUCUUAUAUGCUACUGAAGCUACCUUGUCAGUUUUAUUGCAAAGGUUUUUUGUAUUUUAGCCAAAUCUUUUUAUAGUAUGAAUUUGGAAAUAUUUUACACACUAAAAUGGUUGUGGUUUUAUGGAUGCAUCUCCUAUGUAGAUGGUUAUUCUAUAGCAAAUAGAAUUUAAAGACAUUUUAUUAAAUCUUCAUUGUCAAAACCUUUAAUAAAAGUGGAUAUAUUUUGAAAUGCUCUUUUUCUUGAUGCCACUACAUUCACCUGUUCCUGAUUGUCCACAUUUCAUGAUAAAAUGAGAGCUCUGCAGAGAAUGUUACCCUUUUUGUUGUAAAUAUGAACAAGGGAAAGCUGUUUCUUCAAGUAGUAACUUUUUGUUAAAUUCUUUAGAAAGCAGUUGUCAAGCACUUAGUCAUCCCUAUUGUGAUAUUAGAUAAUACAGGUUUUCAGGAAGCUUAGAUUUGAAUUUAUGUUAAAAAACAAUUUAUGUUGAAAAACAAUUAAUAUUUCAUAUUCAUGGUGAAAAUUUCAACUAGCUUCUGAUCAAUUUUUAAUAAAAAAUUUCAAAUCAUGUUAACUUAAAAAAUAUAUAAUACUUAACUCAGUUUUCUUGGUUUAUUGAAAUAUCCAUGUUAAUGUGAAAACAAUUAAUUUAGAAUUGUGAUUAAAGUGAGCAU